GUGCGUCAUAUAAUACAAGACGUACAUGGCUCUUCAGUAGAAAGAAAUUCAGCAGAAGACAAAUUGACUGUGGAGUCGGAACAUUUUUAGGGGGCAUUUUCCUACAUGUCAGGGUAUCUGCUCACCUUAUCCCGCGGUUUGAUGUAUUUGUGCAGCACGCCACAGAGUUUGUUGUAGUCUCCAUACCACUCAAACGCCUUCUCUCCUCUCUUCUUGAAGAAGCGUUCCCAGUACUCUGCAGAACUGAACUCCUCGGCAGUGCGAGGUAGAAGACUCAUCUUUAACACUUGCUAGGUCUAUAUCAGUAGCUAGCUUGCUACUUGUAAACAAACUAACGUUAGAAUACUUUCGAUUAGCUUUGAACAAGCUAGCUAAGAUUCAGGAACAUGCAGGACAUUAUACAUGUGUAACGGUAGCAAUUGGUAGAUUGUCAAUUGGUCGAAAAACGUAUUAUCAAGCUAGAAAUGCUUGGAUUUUCAGCCCCUAUCUUUCCCACAUGGUAUGUUCACCCGGACAUUAUUCCGAGCUGUACACAACUACAUUUCGAUUGGAUAGCUCUGAAUAGGCGGAGUUCCUAGUCUAAUGCUGAUUAGCUGAGAUUCUUGACAGAAGCCUGUCAUUGUCUGAUGUGGAAUCGGAUGCCUUUGCGACCCGGCGAGUUCUGGUCCGUUGGUGAUUAUCUUCCGGACAACAAGAGGUAUCAACAUGGCUGUCCCAACCGGGAGAUCUGUGGUCUUCGUGACUGGCAACGCAAAUAAACUAGAAGAGGCCUCACUCCCCCCUAUCUGAGAUAUCUACUGCAGCCCUGAUCCUCCACAUACAACACCCGUUCUGCUGCAACAAACACUCAAACUGGACUGGUAGGGAGUGGGCAAUUUUGUUACGUUUUUCCACUCACCAGGUUUAUUCCGAAAAAUGUAUGUCCUCACUCUGGUAGCCUAUGGACAAACAUUAAGAAUAAGCUACGUGGGGAUUCAGAUCCUGGGGGACAAGUUUCCCUACAAACUAGUGUCCAAGAAGAUUGACUGUGAGUACACCUUAUCAAUGGUUCCUGAAUAAACUGAAGCCAGAAGGAUCCUAUGGUUCUAAUGAUGAACUUAGCCUUAAGAUGCCUUUGGGCAUCGGCCCAGGUCAGUUUAAGAUGCUGGCUGGGUUUGAGGACAAGUCGGCCUGGGCUUUGUGUACCUUUGCCUUCUGUCCAGGGAAAGAGGAACCGGUACAACUCUUCAGAGGGAUAACUGAGGUAAGAAUAUCACACACACACACACCACACUGAACAUCUCUGCAUGCUUGCUCUAAUAUACAGUACCAGUCAAAGGUUUGGACACACCUACCCAUUCCAGGGUUUUUCUUUAUUUUUAAU
Long non-coding RNA from Oncorhynchus gorbuscha (pink salmon), 1363 nucleotides. RefSeq lists it as uncharacterized. The transcript has 4 exons. The record is from RefSeq and is a predicted model, not a curated record. NCBI's taxonomy places the organism in Eukaryota, Metazoa, Chordata, Actinopteri, Salmoniformes, Salmonidae.